This 1353-nucleotide long non-coding RNA is filed under the name Homo sapiens (human). RNAcentral's name for it is "HSALNT0185656". The record is from RNAcentral. Lineage: Eukaryota; Metazoa; Chordata; Mammalia; Primates; Hominidae.
UGAUUCUCCUUGGCUCUUAUGAGAUAAGAGUGUCAGAAAGGAACUCAGUUUCCAUUUGACUGGAUGCCAUGGAACUUCAAUGUAAGGGACACCAUUUUGAUUUUUAGUCUGGACUGUAGGGGCCCAGUGCGGAAAUUGACUCCAAAACAACACUCUCAUAAUUUUUAGCACAGCAUAGCAGACUUCAUGGACAAUAACUUCUGGGGAGCCUCUAUCAUCACAGGAUUUGCUGUCAAUAAGGUUUCUCUGGAAAUACUAGAAGGUAUCUAAUUCCUCAUUUUUUCUGUUGGAAACCCAAAAUGUCUCACUUUUCUCCCCCAUCACUUAUGAGGAAAUACAAGCACAUUUUCCUAAUUUAUUUUAUACUGACAGUUGGAAAAGGAAAAAAGCAAAGAAAAUUCCAAUUUGUUUCCAAGUAAUUAAAAUCAAUACAAUCUCAACUUCUUCCAAUCUUUGCUUCCAUGAAAAGCAGCCCAUAACAGCAAAGGCCUUGUUCACUUUCCUUUUCUGUUUUUACUAGGAAGUCCUACUGGAAGCAUGUAAGCUUGCAAGUUCUCUUGCUUAAGGCACAAGUAUUUGACAUUUACAUAAAAACAUUUUUUAAGAACAACAGCAAGAAUCCACCAAAUGCCUAAUCAUGGGAGUUCCUGGCAGGCCUUGUGGGGGUUUUUUGUUUUGUUUUGUUUUGCCCCCCAGGGCUUUAUGAUUUUGAUUAAGGUGCCUCAACAGGGGCCUUAUAUGAGCAGUUACUCAACAUCAAGGACAAAGAAAACCUUCUAUAUGUCCUCCAACCCCCUAGGGCCACCAGAGACCUGCAGUGAUCAAACCCCAGUGUACACAGGGGCUAUAUGAAAUCACCAAAUUGCUGGGCAUUCUGUGGGCCCUUAUAGUCCCAGCUACUUCGAAGACAAACAGGAGGAUCACUCAAGACCAGAUGUUCAAGGCUGUGGUGAGAUUUGACCACAACUGUGACUAGCUGCAUUCCAAUCUGUCUCAAAAAAAAAAAAAAAGAAAAAGAAAAAAAAAACAUUUUGGGAGGCCGAGGCGGGUGGAUCACUUCAGAUUGGGAGUUUGAGACCAGCCUGGCAAACAUGGUGAAACCCCGUCUCUACUAAAAAUACAAAAAUUCGCCAGGCGUGGUGGCGCAUGCCUGUAAUCCCAGCCAUUUGGGAGGCUGAAGCAUGAAAAUCGCUUGAACCUGGGAGACGGAGGUUGCAGUGAGCCAAGAUGGCUUCAAUUGCCCUCCAGUCUGGGUGACAGAGCGAGAUGAAAGAAAGGAAGAAAGAGAGAAAGAAGGAAAGAAGAAAGAAAGAAAGAAAGAAAGAAAGAAAGAAAGAAAGAAAGAAAGAAAGA